This 452-nucleotide ribosomal RNA is filed under the name uncultured bacterium. RNAcentral describes it as "bacterial SSU rRNA". It matches the Rfam family "Bacterial small subunit ribosomal RNA", at positions 29 to 526 of the family's 1533-position model. The record is from RNAcentral.
AACGAACGCUGGCGGCAGGCUUAACACAUGCAAGUCGAGCGGGCCCUUCGGGGUCAGCGGCGGACGGGUUAGUAACGCGUGGGAACGUGCCCUUUGCUCUGGAAUAGCCCUGGGAAACUGGGGGUAAUACCGGAUGUGCCCUGAGGGGGAAAGGUUUACCGGCAAGGGAUCGGCCCGCGUCUGAUUAGGUAGUUGGUGGGGUAACGGCCCACCAAGCCGACGAUCGGUAGCUGGUUUGAGAGGAUGAUCAGCAACACUGGGACUGAGACACGGCCCAGACUCCUACGGGAGGCAGCAGUGGGGAAUCUUAGACAAUGGGCGCAACCCUGAUCUAGCCAUGCCGCGUGAGUGAUGAAGGCCUUAGGGUCGUAAAGCCCUUUCAGCUGGGAAGAUAAUGACGGUACCAGCAGAAGAAGCCCCGGCUAACUCCGUGCCAGCAGCCGCCGUAACAC